Non-coding RNA from Anas platyrhynchos (mallard), 435 nucleotides. NCBI's taxonomy places the organism in Eukaryota, Metazoa, Chordata, Aves, Anseriformes, Anatidae. The record is from RefSeq and is a predicted model, not a curated record.
CAGGAGUGUUCUGAGGAGGAAAAGGGGAGCUUCACUAGACAUUGCUCUGUAUAUCUGGCUACCCCCCUGUGGGGAGGAGGACUAGAAACACCUUCAUCAACUCCCUUUUGGAUGGGCUAAUGCAUGUUAGUGCUACUGGCUGCCCCUCUUCUGUGAACAGACUCUUUUGUGCUGAGUUAGAACUCACUUGCACUAACCACCCUGUCAUGCUGAAGGAGGAUGCUUCAGUGCAGAAAGUGCCCAGAGGGGUCAGUGCUGUGUACAAACGUCUGCUUACCUGGAGAGCUGCAAGGUGUGGCAUCCUCCUGCUUUGGUGGAUGGAGCUCAUAUCCUCCAACUGUGAAAUCUGAUUUCACUGUGGAAAAAAGAUAAAAAGCUAUAUGGAAUUAGAUGUAAAGUUUUGUUCUCUAUGUUUUGAAGAGAUGGAUUUGGGGA